ANAUGUGAGGUCAAUCUGACUGCAACACCAGUCACUCCAUUGAUUACCAGGGUUGAUUUGGUUGGUGGCUGGUGGGUCAGGUGUCCCCUUCCUCCUUCACAGCUCCAAGUGCCUGCCUCCCACAGCUGCAUACUCUGUGGAAGAGCAGAGCUAUCUAGGAGGAGUGGUACCACUCUUCAGUCAAGAGUACAUUACAACUAUGCUCCCCUGCUGGAACCACCAAACAAGCUCAAGGUUAAUUUGUAGGAGAGAUAGGCUGAUCAAGCAAUGAGAAGUCUUAUGGUAUGGUUGACCCUAUAGUUUCAG
This 306-nucleotide small nuclear RNA is filed under the name Salvator merianae (Argentine black and white tegu). Its description in RNAcentral is "7SK RNA (ENSSMRG00000005105.1)". It matches the Rfam family "7SK RNA". From Rfam's summary of the family: 7SK was discovered as an abundant small nuclear RNA in the mid-70s but a possible function has only recently been suggested. Two independent studies have found that 7SK RNA binds the CDK9/cyclin T complex (known as elongation factor P-TEFb). P-TEFb activates transcription by phosphorylating the C-terminal domain of RNA polymerase II. The record is from RNAcentral. Lineage: Eukaryota; Metazoa; Chordata; Lepidosauria; Squamata; Teiidae.